UACGAAGGGGGCUAGCGUUGUUCGGAAUUACUGGGCGUAAAGCGCACGUAGGCGGAUUGCUAAGUCAGGGGUGAAAUCCCGGGGCUCAACCUCGGAACUGCAUUUGAUACUGGCAAUCUCGAGUCCGGAAGAGGUGAGUGGAAUUCCUAGUGUAGAGGUGAAAUUCGUAGAUAUUAGGAAUAACACCAGUGGCGAAGGCGGCUCACUGGUCCGGUACUGACGCUGAGGUGCGAAAGCGUGGGGAGCAAACACG
Molecule: ribosomal RNA, 253 nt
Filed under: uncultured bacterium
Lineage: Bacteria
Description: partial 16S ribosomal RNA
Rfam family: Bacterial small subunit ribosomal RNA
Source: RNAcentral